RNAcentral lists this ribosomal RNA (687 nucleotides) under Triticum aestivum (bread wheat). RNAcentral's name for it is "partial small subunit ribosomal RNA". The record is from RNAcentral. Lineage: Eukaryota; Viridiplantae; Streptophyta; Magnoliopsida; Poales; Poaceae.
CCGGCGGCCGCGGCUACGACGCCCUACGUCGCUGCGGCCCCGCAGUCCUACGGCGCCGCUCACAGCGGGUCGGCCCGGGCACCGAUUGUGCCCUACGGUGCCCCGCCACCGCCGCUGCCCUACGGCGGAUACUAUUCACCUCCGAUGGCCGCGUCCUACCCUGGAGCUGCUGCACCGUCCUUAACGUCGGGCCCUGGUGCAUCUGCUGGAUCAUCCCACAUGGCCUACUACACGUCGCCUCCCGUGGCUGAUCAUACCGCGGCAGUUGCACCGUUCUACUUCGCGCAUCUCAUCCCGGUGAAGCUUACGAUAGACAACUAUCUGUCAUGGCGUGCACAGGUGUUGCCGCUUCUCCGCAGUCGCUACAUGGAGGGCUAUGUUGACGGUUCCCUGCCAUGUCCUCCACCGCAUCACCCGGCGUAUCAUGCAUGGGUAGCUCAGGAUCAGGCCAUCCUCUCCGCGAUCCAGUCAUCGCUCACCGAGGGGGUGUCCUCCUUGGUUCUCUUCGCUGCCACGUCUCAGGAGGCGUGGUCUGCUCUGCACACGAGCUUCGCCUCUCAGCAGCAUGCGCGCGCUCACACUAUUCGUACGGAGCUGGGGGAGACCAAGCUUCUUGACCUCAGCAUCACCGACUAUUUCAACAAGAUGACGCGUCUCGCUGAUACAUUGGCCUCCAUUGGCCAGCCG